UCACAACAGUUUCUGCUGCACCUCUUCCCAGUGUAAGACCUAUCUCCAUGAUGGACAAAUUCUUGCAAAGUUGCAAGCCUGCAGUUAUGAGGAAAUUGCAACUUUCAAGUAGGCUACUGCAUGUAGCAGAACAAGAUAUAUCUUCUAAGGGAGUGGUCAAUAUGCCCAAAAGAGGUGGAUGCAUAAUUAAGGUUGAAUGAGUGAUGGGUGGUUUAGUGCUUAAAUUAAAAGGUGAAGAGACCAGUAGUCGCUAGUUUCUCUUUUCAGUUCCUUUCUUUUAUCAUCUAAUAAAAUAAGUGAUAUAAAACUCCCAAGCAAAAGUGAAUAAUUGGACCACCUUUUUUGUAUUCAGACGAAAUAGCUGGUCUGCUAACU
This 375-nucleotide small RNA is filed under the name Oryza sativa Japonica Group (Japanese rice). RNAcentral's name for it is "sRNA Os08g0424850". The record is from RNAcentral. Lineage: Eukaryota; Viridiplantae; Streptophyta; Magnoliopsida; Poales; Poaceae.